GCAGCAGCCGCGGUAAUACGAAGGGUGCAAGCGUUACUCGGAAUUACUGGGCGUAAAGCGUGCGUAGGUGGUGGUUUAAGUCCGUUGUGAAAGCCCUGGGCUCAACCUGGGAAUUGCAGUGGAUACUGGGUCACUAGAGUGUGGUAGAGGAUAGUGGAAUUUCCGGUGUAGCAGUGAAAUGCGUAGAGAUCGGAAGGAACAUCUGUGGCGAAGGCGUCUAUCUGGGCCAACACUGACACUGAGGCACGAAAGCGUGGGGAGCAAACAGGAUUAGAGACCCCCGUAGUCCCUGUCUCUUAUAA
RNAcentral lists this ribosomal RNA (302 nucleotides) under uncultured bacterium. RNAcentral describes it as "partial 16S ribosomal RNA". It matches the Rfam family "Bacterial small subunit ribosomal RNA", at positions 508 to 809 of the family's 1533-position model. The record is from RNAcentral.